AGGGAAGAUUGGAUGUUCGCUGCCUUCAAAAGGCAGAGGAAAGUCCGGACACCAUAGGGCAGGAUACUUCCUAACAGGAAGCUGCAGUAAUGCAGAGCAAGCUCCACAGAAAUAAACCGCCAUUUUUUUGUUCGGAAAUGGUAAGGGUGAAAUGGUGGUGUAAGAGACCACCGGUAUCUUUGGUAACAAAGAUAGACAGGAAUGCCUUAUCCGGUGCAAUGCCAAAUAGGAAAGCUAUGAUGUUGCCCGCAUCGCUUUCGGGUAGGCAGCUGGAGCUGUUUUGUGAAAAACAGCCAAGAUGGAUGAACAUCACUUUCGGGAAACUGAAAGCACAGAAUCCGGCUUAUAAAUCUUCCCCUUUU
RNAcentral lists this RNase P RNA (362 nucleotides) under Candidatus Cloacimonadota bacterium. RNAcentral's name for it is "RNase P RNA component class A". It matches the Rfam family "Bacterial RNase P class A". Rfam says of the family: Ribonuclease P (RNase P) is a ubiquitous endoribonuclease, found in archaea, bacteria and eukarya as well as chloroplasts and mitochondria. Its best characterised activity is the generation of mature 5'-ends of tRNAs by cleaving the 5'-leader elements of precursor-tRNAs. The record is from RNAcentral. Lineage: Bacteria; Pseudomonadati; Candidatus Cloacimonadota.